This 339-nucleotide unclassified non-coding RNA is filed under the name soil metagenome. RNAcentral's name for it is "partial contains 5.8S ribosomal RNA, internal transcribed spacer 2, and large subunit ribosomal RNA". The stretch from base 1 to 121 matches the Rfam family "5.8S ribosomal RNA", at positions 35 to 154 of the family's 154-position model. The record is from RNAcentral.
GAUGAAGAACGCAGUGAAAUGCGAUAAGUAAUGCGAAUUGCAGAAUUUCCGUGAGUCAUCGAAUCUUUGAACGCACAUUGCGCCCACUGGUAUUCCGGUGGGCAUGCCUGUUCGAGCGUCAUUUGAAACCUCAAGCUCAGCUUGGUGUUGGGUGUCUGUCCCCGCCUCACCGCGGGGACUCGCCUCAAAAUCAUUGGCGGCCGGUACGUUGGCUUCGAGCGCAGCAGAAACGCGAACUCGAGGCCCGGCGGAUCGGCGACCAGAAGUCACUUCUUCACAGUUUGACCUCGGAUCAGGUAGGGAUACCCGCUGAACUUAAGCAUAUCAAUAAGCGGAGGA